AAUAAUUUAAAGUGUUUAAUUCGAAUUCUAUAUUCAAGUUCUUAGAAAACUCGAAUCAUUCAAUUCGAAGUUAAAAAAUUUAAUCUGCUUUUUUUGGUUGAAGUUGAUUCCAAAGCUUCUUAGAGGCAACACACCAUCAAAGAAAUCACCAAAGUAUCCAGGUGAUCAUGCCAUGCCACUCAACACUGGUGAUCUCAUUUCGUGUUCCUCCAAGUGCUUUUUAACUGCUAUUAGUGAAUUGUUGCAGCAUAAUUUCAUCACUGGCCUGUAAUGUAAUCAAGGUAGAUCUCCGGUGCAGUGAAAAAGGAACUAUAUAUCUCUAAGGCUUAUGUUACCGAUAACAUUUUUCCUUCACCGUCAACAACUGGUUACUGAUUUUGCUGCCAAGUGCCUACACGAACGUAAAUUCAUGAUCAAUGUUCGGUCCAAGCAACAGAAGCAGAGAAAGAAAAGAUUUAAUUGAAGCAUACGUAGGGAGUUUUUAGCAGUAAAGAUUUGUGUGCUGGCAUGGAGGGCCCAUUGUUAGACUUAAGCUUUAUAUCAGUGUGAAUUUGUUCCUUGAAAGCCGCUCCAUAAAUCCUCUAAGGAAACUUACUCUUUUUCAAAUCAUCUUCAAUAUCAGUCAAUGGUUUCUUGAGACA
Long non-coding RNA from Hibiscus syriacus, 641 nucleotides. RefSeq lists it as uncharacterized. The record is from RefSeq and is a predicted model, not a curated record. The transcript has 3 exons. Lineage: Eukaryota; Viridiplantae; Streptophyta; Magnoliopsida; Malvales; Malvaceae.